AUUGAACGCUGGCGGCAUGCCUUACACAUGCAAGUCGAACGGCAGCAUGGAAGAGCUUGCUCUUCUGAUGGCGAGUGGCGAACGGGUGAGUAAAGCAUCGGAACGUACCGUGUAGUGGGGGAUAACGUAGCGAAAGUUACGCUAAUACCGCAUACGCACUGAGGUGGAAAGCAGGGGAUCGCAAGACCUUGCGCUAUACGAGCGGCCGAUGUCAGAUUAGCUAGUUGGUAGGGUAAAGGCUCACCAAGCCAACGAUCUGUAGCUGGUCUGAGAGGACGACCAGCCACACUGGAACUGAGACACGGUCCAGACUCCUACGGGAGGCAGCAGUGGGGAAUUUUGGACAAUGGACGCAAGUCUGAUCCAGCCAUUCCGCGUGCAGGAUGAAGGCCCUCGGGUUGUAAACUGCUUUUGUACGGAACGAAAAGGUUUCCAUUAAUACUGGGACUCGAUGACGGUACCGUAAGAAUAAGCA
RNAcentral lists this ribosomal RNA (475 nucleotides) under uncultured bacterium. RNAcentral's name for it is "bacterial SSU rRNA". It matches the Rfam family "Bacterial small subunit ribosomal RNA", at positions 30 to 492 of the family's 1533-position model. The record is from RNAcentral.